CCUACGGGAGGCAGCAGUGGGGAAUAUUGCACAAUGGGCGCAAGCCUGAUGCAGCGACGCCGCGUGAGGGAUGACGGCCUUCGGGUUGUAAACCUCUUUCAGCAGGGACGAAGCGCAAGUGACGGUACCUGCAGAAGAAGCACCGGCCAACUACGUGCCAGCAGCCGCGGUAAUACGUAGGGUGCAAGCGUUGUCCGGAAUUACUGGGCGUAAAGAGCUCGUAGGCGGUUUGUCGCGUCGUCUGUGAAAACCAGCAGCUCAACUGUUGGCUUGCAGGCGAUACGGGCAGACUUGAGUAUUUCAGGGGAGACUGGAAUUCCUGGUGUAGCGGUGAAAUGCGCAGAUAUCAGGAGGAACACCGGUGGCGAAGGCGGGUCUCUGGGAAAUAACUGACGCUGAGGAGCGAAAGCGUGGGUAGCGAACAGGAUUAGAUACCCUGGUAGUCCACGCCGUAAACGGUGGGCGCUAGGUGUGGGUUUCCUUCCACGGGAUCCGUGCCGUAGCUAACGCAUUAAGCGCCCCGCCUGGGGAGUACGGCCGCAAGGCUAAAACUUAAGAGUAGUGCGUGNGAGAGCGACGACGACGACGACGGAGGAG
This 597-nucleotide ribosomal RNA is filed under the name uncultured bacterium. Its description in RNAcentral is "bacterial SSU rRNA". It matches the Rfam family "Bacterial small subunit ribosomal RNA", at positions 338 to 943 of the family's 1533-position model. The record is from RNAcentral.